AGUCAAUAGAUACCCCGGUAGUCCACGCUGUAAACGAUGUCGAUUUGGAGUCUGUGCCACUAUGAGCGUGGGGUUCCGAAAGCUAACGCGAUAAAUCGACCGCCUGGGGAGUACGGCCGCAAGGUUAAAACUCAAAUGAAUUGACGGGGGCCCGCACAAGCGGUGGAGCAUGUGGUUUAAUUCGAUGCAACGCGAAGAACCUUACCUGGCCUUGACAUGCUGAGAACUUUCCAGAGAUGGAUUGGUGCCUUCGGGAGCUCAGACACAGGUGCUGCAUGGCUGUCGUCAGCUCGUGUCGUGAGAUGUUGGGUUAAGUCCCGCGACGAGCGCAACCCCUAUCCUUUGCUGCCAGCGGGUAAUGCCGGGAACUCAA
Molecule: ribosomal RNA, 373 nt
Filed under: uncultured bacterium
Lineage: Bacteria
Description: bacterial SSU rRNA
Rfam family: Bacterial small subunit ribosomal RNA
Source: RNAcentral